Molecule: ribosomal RNA, 468 nt
Filed under: uncultured bacterium
Lineage: Bacteria
Description: partial 16S ribosomal RNA
Rfam family: Bacterial small subunit ribosomal RNA
Source: RNAcentral
GACGAACGCUGGCGGCGUGCUUAACACAUGCAAGUCGAACGGAAAGGCCCUGCUUUUGUGGGGUGCUCGAGUGGCGAACGGGUGAGUAACACGUGAGUAACCUGCCCUUGACUUUGGGAUAACUUCAGGAAACUGGGGCUAAUAACGGAUAGGAGCUCCUGCUGCAUGGUGGGGGUUGGAAAGUUUCGGCGGUUGGGGAUGGACGCGCGGCUUAUCAGCUUGUUGGUGGGGGAGUGGCUUACCAAGGCUUUGACGGGUAGGCGGCCUGAGAGGGUGACCGGCCACAAUGGGACUGAGAUACGGCGCAGACUCCUACGUGAGGCAGCAGUGGGGAAUAUUGUACAAUGGGCGGAAGUCUGAUGCAGCGACGCCGCGUGCGGGAUGACGGUCUGCGGGGUGUGAACCGCUUUCGGCUGUGACGAAGCGUGAGUGACGGUAAUGGGUAAAGAAGCACCGGCUAACUACGUG